Molecule: ribosomal RNA, 465 nt
Filed under: uncultured bacterium
Lineage: Bacteria
Description: partial 16S ribosomal RNA
Rfam family: Bacterial small subunit ribosomal RNA
Source: RNAcentral
GACGAACGCUGGCGGCGUGCUUAACACAUGCAAGUCGAACGGAAAGGCCCUGCUUGCCGGGUACUCGAGUGGCGAACGGGUGAGUAACACGUGGGUGAUCUGCCCUGCACUUCGGGAUAAGCCUGGGAAACUGGGUCUAAUACCGGAUAGGAGCCAUUUUUAGUGUGAUGGUUGGAAAGUUUUUUCGGUGUAGGAUGAGCUCGCGGCCUAUCAGCUUGUUGGUGGGGUAAUGGCCUUCCAAGGCGGCGACGGGUAGCCGGCCUGAGAGGGUGGACGGCCACAUUGGGACUGAGAUACGGCCCAGACUCCUACGGGAGGCAGCAGUGGGGAAUAUUGCACAAUGGGCGCAAGCCUGAUGCAGCGACGCCGCGUGGGGGAUGACGGCCUUCGGGUUGUAAACUCCUUUCGCUAGGGACGAAGCUUUUUGUGACGGUACCUAGAUAAGAAGCACCGGCUAACUACGUG